This 67-nucleotide small RNA is filed under the name Sporosarcina sp. HYO08. RNAcentral describes it as "Bacillaceae-1 RNA". It matches the Rfam family "Bacillaceae-1 RNA". The record is from Rfam by way of RNAcentral. Lineage: Bacteria; Bacillati; Bacillota; Bacilli; Caryophanales; Caryophanaceae.
GUUAAAGGAAGGCAGUCUAGGAGCGCGACGUCCUGUCGCCACGACCGCAUGACCGGCAUCGUGCCGG